GUCUACCACCAUGCUACCCUGAACAAGCCAGAUCCCGUCUGAUCUCGGAAACUAAGCAGGGUUGAGCCUGGUUAGUACUUGGAUGGGGGACCACCUAGGAAGACCAGGUGCUGUAAGCG
This 119-nucleotide ribosomal RNA is filed under the name Pteropus alecto (black flying fox). The record is from RNAcentral. Lineage: Eukaryota; Metazoa; Chordata; Mammalia; Chiroptera; Pteropodidae.